RNAcentral lists this ribosomal RNA (467 nucleotides) under uncultured bacterium. RNAcentral describes it as "partial 16S ribosomal RNA". It matches the Rfam family "Bacterial small subunit ribosomal RNA", at positions 28 to 506 of the family's 1533-position model. The record is from RNAcentral.
GACGAACGCUGGCGGCGUGCUUAACACAUGCAAGUCGAACGGAAAGGCCCUGCUUUUGUGGGGUGCUCGAGUGGCGAACGGGUGAGUAACACGUGAGUAACCUGCCCUUGACUUUGGGAUAACUUCAGGAAACUGGGGCUAAUACCGGAUAGGAGCUCCUGCUGCAUGGUGGGGGUUGGAAAGUUUCGGCGGUUGGGGAUGGACUCGCGGCUUAUCAGCUUGUUGGUGGGGUAGUGGCUUACCAAGGCUUUGACGGGUAGCCGGCCUGAGAGGGUGACCGGCCACAUUGGGACUGAGAGACGGCCCAGACUCCUACGGGAGGCAGGAGUGGGGAAUAUUGCACAAUGGGCGGAAGCCUGAUGCAGCAACGCCGGGUGCGGGAUGACGGCCUUCGGGUUGUAAGCCGCUUUCGCCUGUGACGAAGCGUGAGUGACGGUAAUGGGUAAAGAAGCACGGGCAAAUUACGU